AAUUAGAAAGAUGUCCAUGUACCAUGAAAAAGAGUUUAUCAUAUAUUAAUACAAAUGUAUAAUGUGUUAGAAAUUUUAAAACAACACUAAAGAUUAUAGGCUUCAGUAUAUAAAGUAUUUACCAAAAACUCAAUAUUUUCGAAGGGGUUAACACAUCGAUUUUGAGAAAAUUUGAAAAAAAUGACCAUAUUGUUUUAAUGCAUAGUUGCAUCAUGCACUAACAUAUGAUGAAAUUCAAAGUGGUUUGGAGCUUUUAUUGUCUCUGUUUAUCUAGAAAAUAGUUAUUUUAUAGUAGUUAUUUCAUCGAUUUAGGAAGUAUUAGGAAGUUUUACUAAAUUAAUAGAUAAAAAAUUAUAACAAUUUCCAUAUACCAUGAAAAAUAGCGUAAAAUAAAUUAAUACAGAUGUAGAAUGUGGUUAGAAAUUUUAAAAAACACUAAAUAUUAUAGGCUUCAGUAUAUAAAAAAUUUA
This is a long non-coding RNA of Brassica rapa (field mustard), 470 nucleotides long. RefSeq lists it as uncharacterized. NCBI's taxonomy places the organism in Eukaryota, Viridiplantae, Streptophyta, Magnoliopsida, Brassicales, Brassicaceae. The record is from RefSeq and is a predicted model, not a curated record.